UGCACGCUGGCGGUAGGCCUAACACAUGCAAGUCGAACGGCAGCACAGUAAGAGCUUGCUCUUACGGGUGGCGAGUGGCGGACGGGUGAGGAAUACAUCGGAAUCUACUUUUUCGUGGGGGAUAACGUAGGGAAACUUACGCUAAUACCGCAUACGACCUACGGGUGAAAGCAGGGGAUCUUCGGACCUUGCGCGAUUGAAUGAGCCGAUGUCGGAUUAGCUAGUUGGCGGGGUAAAGGCCCACCAAGGCGACGAUCCGUAGCUGGUCUGAGAGGAUGAUCAGCCACACUGGAACUGAGACAAGGUCCAGACUCCUACGGGAGGCAGCAGUGGGGAAUAUUGGACAAUGGGCGCAAGCCUGAUCCAGCCAUACCGCGUGGGUGAAGAAGGCCUUCGGGUUGUAAAGCCCUUUUGUUGGGAAAGAAAAGCAGCAGGUUAAUACCCCGCUGUUCUGACGGUACCCAAAGAAUAAGCACCGGCUAACUUCGUG
RNAcentral lists this ribosomal RNA (490 nucleotides) under uncultured bacterium. RNAcentral describes it as "partial 16S ribosomal RNA". It matches the Rfam family "Bacterial small subunit ribosomal RNA", at positions 30 to 507 of the family's 1533-position model. The record is from RNAcentral.